CCUACGGGGGGCACCAGUGUGGAAUAUUGCACAAAGGCGCAAGCCUGAUGCAGCCAUGCCGCGUGUGUGAAGAAGGCCUUCGGGUUGUAAAGCACUUUCAGCGGGGAGGAAGGCGGUGAGGUUAAUAACCUCAUCGAUUGACGUUACCCGCAGAAGAAGCACCGGCUAACUCCGUGCCAGCAGCCGCGGUAAUACGGAGGGUGCAAGCGUUAAUCGGAAUUACUGGGCGUAAAGCGCACGCAGGCGGUCUGUCAAGUCGGAUGUGAAAUCCCCGGGCUCAACCUGGGAACUGCAUUCGAAACUGGCAGGCUAGAGUCUUGUAGAGGGGGGUAGAAUUCCAGGUGUAGCGGUGGAAUGCGUAGAGAUCUGGAGGAAUACCGGUGGCGAAGGCGGCCCCCUGGACAAAGACUGACGCUCAGGUGCGAAAGCGUGGGGAACAAACAGGAUUAGAUACCCUCGUAGUC
This 464-nucleotide ribosomal RNA is filed under the name uncultured bacterium. Its description in RNAcentral is "bacterial SSU rRNA". It matches the Rfam family "Bacterial small subunit ribosomal RNA", at positions 338 to 795 of the family's 1533-position model. The record is from RNAcentral.